UGUUUGAUUCUCCCGAGCCCGCUUUCAAGUGGUAGGGGUGUGGCCUUCCAACAAGCUCACUCCUGAUUGGUGGGAGUGAGCGCUGACUCAGACGGACUUGGACCAAUCACUGCUUACUGACGGCGUCUGGCUCCAACAUGCAGCGUCGCCUCGUGGGAAAAUGAAGGCUACAUUGACUUCAUCUGAUUGGAGGGGGAGUCAAAGGGGUACCUGAAGGGAACAGAUGCUGCAUUGAAGACAUUCUUGAUGAAACAGAAAGACAUGAGUGUCUCAUAAAAGUGUACAUAACUUAAGCAAACACGAGGAGUUUGGACCUUGGACCAGUUCUGGCUCCACAGGCAGUCAGGAGGUUCGUGGAAACUCCAUCAUGACCAGAACUAAACACCCUACAAACCAAAAACAUCAGCUGAACAACAUUGGAAGGAAUUCUCAGUCGUUCCCAGCUCUUCUUCUUCUGCCACCUGGUCCCUGUUCCAGAAAGCAGGUUAUGCUAGUUACCACGAUUUUAGGCACAAACAUGUUUGAAAACUGCUGCUGUUCUGUGAUCCUGCUUUUCAAGGUGAAAACCCAACAUUUAGAGUUUUAGGACGCUGAAUGUGUCUCUCUCCAUCACAAGUAUUUCUGCUGGAUUUGACUUAGUAUCUACUUUUCUCACAGUUUCAGGAGGAUGGUGAACAUCUCCGUCAAGUGUUGAAGAACCUAAACCUCACUGAAACUGGAAGGAAAGAGGCAGAAAACGUUUGAUUACUGUUCAUAUAACUCAGCGAAGUCCAGCCCAGGGAACAUCAAGCCUUAUGCAAGCCUGCCCUCAGAGAGCCUCCUGAACCUGAAAGUGGUAGUCCUCAGCCUCAGAGCAGUCACAAACCCCAGCUGUAGAUAACUUCUCACAGUGGUGUUGUGAUGCUGAGUCAUGUGACACCAAAACACGACUUCAUCCUCACAGCCAGAUGUUUACCAGGACAUGGAGAGAAUCCUCUGACCGCAGGAGACAGCAGACUCAGAAGCAGACGUGUUCUGAGCGUUUCUGUGAAGCCCUGAAGGAUGGAGCUCACACCGUCAGCCCUCACUCUCCGGCUGCUCCACAUGGUCAUCUGCGUCACAAACACAGAAGCUCCUGGUGACUCAGAUGAAGAAAGCUGAGCUGGAGGAGAACAGCAGAUCCUGACACUCCUCCUCACUCCUACCUCCUCCUCACACUCCACAUGCAGUCUCUUUAUAAUGGUCUGGAAUGGCACCAGAACCCGUCUGAGGAUAGGGAUCCAGGACCCCCCCCCCACACACACACACGCACACACACAGCAGGUGGCAGUAUGCCCCCCUUUCAAUGGUCUCCCAUCCACCAAUAAAUGUAACGUAGAAAAGAAAUCUCCUGGAGCUGAGAGUGCGUUCUUAUAUUACCUACUAAGGUCUGUCCUUAAGCUCUUUGUAGUCUGUAGUUGGGAGAGGGGUGGGGACGUCACUGAUGUCAGCACUUCAGAAAAUGGCGCCCUGACGGUUUAAGGUACGUCACGUCCAACAAGUGGUUGUAGAAAAAUGAUUCUCUUUGCUUUUGUUCCAGAGAAUCCUUCCUGUCAGCUGUUGGGAGAGGUUCAGCUCCUGCAGAAGAUCCCGUUGGUUCUGGAAAGAUCCGGCUGUGUUCGGAUCACUGAAAAUAAACGGGAAGAGCUUCGUAUUCCUGAAAACUUUGGUUAAAUGUUUGAAAACUACAGCAAACUUUCAGCUGCAUUAUAAUAAUGACUCAGCAGGGAUUUCUGCUGUAUGGUGUAGAGUCAAGUCUUCAGCAUGGAAACUUGAUCUUUACGGCCUUUUGCUUUCAUUACAAUCUGUGUAUAUUAAUGAAUGACACAACAAUCACACAAUUAAUAUAAAACACAACUAACUUCCGGUUUCAUCCUGGGUCAGAUUCCUGUUUGUCAAAUCAAAACGUUGGACUUUGACUUUCCUCUCAUAAUGAACUUAGCAGCCAUCAAAUCUUCCCAUGAAGGAUGAGGCCAUGUUCUGCUCUUCAACUCAUUCAGUGUUGAAGUUGUUGCUGUUUGGAUGACUUGAGGGUUUCUUCGUGCCUCUGGCUGUUUGCAGCAUCUUCAGAGAUCCUCUUCAGCAUCCACUCUCAGAGUUCAGACGCUCCUGUCCGGGUUUGCUGAUCCAACAGGUGUGGGCGGAGUCAACUCAACCAUGUGACAUCUGCUCAGACACCGUGAAGAAAAUAAACUACAGUCAUGAAAAAGAGAGGCUUUCCAAGAAAUCCAGCAGGUUGAUGUUGUUUACUGAAAGCAGAAGUCAGUCCCAGCAGGAGGCAGUUUGCCUGAUAGGCUACAUCUGGAUGGAUAACAUGUUUACUUCCUUGUAAUUAUGCAGAGAAACGAGGGAGAAGCAAAAGAUUUUAAGCAGCUUAGAGGCAAACAGAUCGAGGUGUGUUUUAUUUUUGACAAAGCAGCGGAAGCUGGAAACGCUUCUAUACCCAUGUCUGCCUGCUGAAUGAUGUGCAGUCCAAGAAUGUUGGGAAAAGUGCUGCCAAGGCAUCUCUGCUGUCGCCAUAGCAACAGAGCACAACAGAGCAUCACAUGGGGAAGCACGACAGGCGGGUGGGUCCUUCCACAGGAGCAUAAUCCACCAUGACGCCCGUCCGUCUGCUCCGUUUUUCUGCUCCUUCACCUCUGUGGUUGAGGCUUUUAAAAGGGUAAACGCUGGAUUACUCAUUAUAGGUAAAAAAAAAA
Oryzias latipes (Japanese medaka) is the source of this 2717-nucleotide non-coding RNA. The record is from RefSeq and is a predicted model, not a curated record. Lineage: Eukaryota; Metazoa; Chordata; Actinopteri; Beloniformes; Adrianichthyidae.